UACGUAGGCAGCAAGCGUUGUUCGGAGUUACUGGGCGUAAAGGGUGUGUAGGCGGCCUUUUAAGUUUGGUGUGAAAUCUCCCGGCUCAACUGGGAGGGUGCGCCGAAUACUGAAGGGCUCGAGUGCGGGAGAGGAGAGUGGAAUUCCUGGUGUAGCGGUGAAAUGCGUAGAUAUCAGGAGGAACACCGGUGGUGUAGACGGCUCUCUGGACCGUAACUGACGCUGAGACACGAAAGCGUGGGUAGCAAACAGG
RNAcentral lists this ribosomal RNA (253 nucleotides) under uncultured bacterium. Its description in RNAcentral is "partial 16S ribosomal RNA". It matches the Rfam family "Bacterial small subunit ribosomal RNA", at positions 524 to 776 of the family's 1533-position model. The record is from RNAcentral.